UAUAAUAACUGUAGCAGGUCUGUCAGAGUGACUGUGUAGUGACUGCAGAGAUCCAGGAAUGUAAUAACGGUAGCAGGUCUGUCAGAGUGACUGUGUAGUGACUGUAGAGACCCAGGAAUAUAAUAACUGUAGCAGGUCUGUCAGAGUGACUGUUGAGACCCAGGAAUAUAAUAACUGUAGCAGGUCUGUCAGAGUGACUGUGUAGUGACUGCAGAGAUCCAGGAAUGUAAUAACGGUAGCAGGUCUGUCAGAGUGACUGUGCAGUGACUGUAGAGACCCAGGAAUAUAAUAACUGUAGCAGGUCUGUCAGAGUGACUGUGUAGAGACUGUAGAGACCCAGGAAUAUAAUAACUGUAGCAGGUCUGUCAGAGUGACUGUGUAGUUCCUGUAGAGACCCAGGAAUAUAAUAACUGUAGCAGGUCUGUCAGAGUGACUGUGUAGUGACUGUAGAGACCCGGGAAUAUAAUAACUGUAGCAGGUCUGUCAGCAUGACUGUGUGGUGACUGUAGAGACCCAGGAAUAUAAUAACUGUAGCAGGUCUGUCAGAGUGACUGUGUAGUGACUGUAGAGACCCAGGAAUAUAAUAACUGUAGCAGGUCUGUCAGAGUGACUGUGUAGUGACUGUAGAGACCCAGGAAUAUAAUAACUGUAGCAGGUCUGUCAGAGUGACUGUGUAGUGACUGUAGAGACCCAGGAAUAUAAUAACUGUAGCAGGUCUGUCAGAGUGACUGUGUAGUGACUGCAGAGACCCAG
This is a long non-coding RNA of Oncorhynchus tshawytscha (Chinook salmon), 753 nucleotides long. RefSeq lists it as uncharacterized. The record is from RefSeq and is a predicted model, not a curated record. The transcript is spliced from 3 exons. NCBI's taxonomy places the organism in Eukaryota, Metazoa, Chordata, Actinopteri, Salmoniformes, Salmonidae.